UAUUGUUAUAGGCUACCAUGAUGGAUGAACAUAUGAUAAAAGAUUUUAAAAAGAUUUAAAUUCAAAAAUUGAGUUCUUGACGAACUCCAAGUAAGAAAAGAGAUCACAACAAAUUUGAGUACAGAUAAGGAAAAAGGUUACAGCAUUCCCUUGAUUUUCACCUCCAAAUCAGAACAAAUUUAUGCUCUCUUCUCUAUAUAAAUAGUGCUAAGGAGAACCCAAGAAGAGAGGCCUUGAAAGGGAGCAACUCUUAUAGCCCA
Molecule: long non-coding RNA, 260 nt
Filed under: Elaeis guineensis (African oil palm)
Lineage: Eukaryota; Viridiplantae; Streptophyta; Magnoliopsida; Arecales; Arecaceae
Description: long non-coding RNA (EGUI_LNC009454)
Source: RNAcentral